This 818-nucleotide ribosomal RNA is filed under the name uncultured Sphingobacteriia bacterium. Its description in RNAcentral is "bacterial SSU rRNA". It matches the Rfam family "Bacterial small subunit ribosomal RNA", at positions 58 to 868 of the family's 1533-position model. Lineage: Bacteria; Pseudomonadati; Bacteroidota; Sphingobacteriia. The record is from RNAcentral.
CAAGUCGUGGGGCAGCAGGUCCGUAGCAAUACGGAUGCUGGCGACCGGCAAACGGGUGCGGAACACGUACACAACCUUCCUUUAAGUGGGGGAUAGCCCGGGGAAACCCGGAUUAAUACCCCGUAACAUGGUGAAGUGGCAUCACUUUACUCUUAUAGCAGCAAUGCGCUUAAUGAUGGGUGUGCGGCUGAUUAGGCAGUUGGCGGGGUAACGGCCCACCAAACCUACGAUCAGUAACUGGUGUGAGAGCACGACCAGUCACACGGGCACUGAGACACGGGCCCGACUCCUACGGGAGGCAGCAGUAAGGAAUAUUGGUCAAUGGACGCAAGUCUGAACCAGCCAUGCCGCGUGGAGGAUGAAGGUCCUCUGGAUUGUAAACUUCUUUUCUUUGGGAAGAAAUCCAUCCAUUCUUGGAUGGUUGACGGUACCAGAUGAAUAAGCACCGGCUAACUCCGUGCCAGCAGCCGCGGUAAUACGGAGGGUGCAAGCGUUAUCCGGAUUCACUGGGUUUAAAGGGUGCGUAGGUGGAUUAGUAAGUCAGUGGUGAAAUCUCUGGGCUUAACUCAGAAACUGCCAUUGAUACUAUUAAUCUUGAAUACCGUGGAGGUCAGCGGAAUAUGUCAUGUAGCGGUGAAAUGCUUAGAUAUGACAUAGAACACCAAUUGCGAAGGCAGCUGGCUACACGAAUAUUGACACUGAGGCACGAAAGCGUGGGGAUCAAACAGGAUUAGAUACCCUGGUAGUCCACGCCCUAAACGAUGGAUACUCNACAUUUGCGAUAAGCUGCAAGUGUCUGAGCGAAAGCAUUAAGUAUC